AGACGUCUACAUUAGAUACCCGCGUAGUCCAGGGUGUAAACGCUGCAGACUUGGUGUCGGCCACGGUGCGACCGUUGUCGGUGCCGUAGGGAAGCCGUGAAGCGAGCCACCUGGGAAGUACGGCCGCAAGGCUGAAACUUAAAGGAAUUGGCGGGGGAGCACAACAACGGGUGGAGCCUGCGGUUUAAUUGGACUCAACGCCGGACAACUCACCGGGGACGACAGCAAUAUGUAGGCCAGGCUGAAGACCUUGCCUGAAUCGCUG
Molecule: ribosomal RNA, 265 nt
Filed under: uncultured archaeon
Lineage: Archaea
Description: partial 16S ribosomal RNA
Rfam family: Archaeal small subunit ribosomal RNA
Source: RNAcentral